GCCUGAUUGACUUAAGACAAUCUUCUCCCUGCUUUGGCAAUGAUUGGUUCCUUGAUGGACAUGUGAAUCCAAAUUGGACCACUGACAAAUAAGAAGGGAUCUGACUGAGGGAUUCUGAGAAAGUUCUUGCUCACCCUUCAGGCAGGAGCAAAAAGCUUUCCGAAUCAGGACAUGAGACACUCAAGGUAAAGAGCAGAAUUGCAGCAUGAAGGAAAUUCAAGGAGAAGUCAUUUCCAGGGUAAAGUAAGAGAUUUAAUGUAUUAUUAAGAUUUUUUGGUAGCAGGCAACAGAAUCCUAUGGUGGCUAAAAUAUGGAGAUGCGGGGGGUGAUGAGUGUGGAGAGAUGUAUUGUCCUGCUAGAAUGACAGGAAAACUGAAGAAACUGGGCUUGUAACAGAGAGAAACGAGGAACCUCCAUAUGGUCUCAAAAACUAGAAUGAAUGAACAUACACUAUAUCUUCUACUGUAGUUUCAUUUCAUUCAAUAACUAAAAUGCCAGAAGAAAAAGUCCAAUUGGCCAAGCUUAGGUCACAUGCCUGCCCUUGACUGUACUGUGUGGUUAACGCAAGCACCUGUAGAGGCAGCAUCCCAGUACGGCUUCAGCUGCCAUAAUAGGAGCACAGGCACCUGAGUUUACC
This 637-nucleotide long non-coding RNA is filed under the name Homo sapiens (human). RNAcentral's name for it is "HSALNT0142540". The record is from RNAcentral. Lineage: Eukaryota; Metazoa; Chordata; Mammalia; Primates; Hominidae.